UACGUAGGGCGCAAGCGUUGUCCGGAAUUAUUGGGCGUAAAGAGCUCGUAGGCGGUUUGUCGCGUCUGCUGUGAAAACCUAAGGCUCAACCUUGGGCUUGCAGUGGGUACGGGCAGACUAGAGUGCGGUAGGGGUGACUGGAAUUCCUGGUGUAGCGGUGAAAUGCGCAGAUAUCAGGAGGAACACCGGUGGCGAAGGCGGGUCUCUGGGCCGAAAUUGACGCUGAGGAGCGAAAGCGUGGGGAGCAAACAGG
Molecule: ribosomal RNA, 253 nt
Filed under: uncultured bacterium
Lineage: Bacteria
Description: partial 16S ribosomal RNA
Rfam family: Bacterial small subunit ribosomal RNA
Source: RNAcentral